UAAAAAUAUUGAUUGUUUAUAUUUUUAAAUUUCAUACUAUUUUUUUAAAAAAAAUUUAAAAAUAAAUAUUUUACUACGCCGGCUCGAAGAAUGGCCUUAUUGGCACGACCCGCAGCAUGGCCCGGCUCGGCCCGACACGGCCCAUGCCUUCCGGGCCAAAAGGCCGUGCUGGGCCACAGAGUAGACAAUUUGGGCCUGGCACGGCACGGCCCGAAAUUAAAUUCGGACCGGGCCUGUCUGGGCUGGCCCCUAGCCAGUUUCGGCCUAGAAAAUGUGGACCGUGCCGGGCCGGCACGGCCCACAUUACACCCCUAUACGUGAUCUAUGCUAUUGGAUGUACUUAUAAAAUAAUCUUUAUAAUUUUUUGACAUCAUUUAUUUUUAAAAUGAAUAGUUUGAAAAUAAGUUGCUGAAAACACAAAUCUCAUAAAAAAUAAUAAUUCAAUUUCAGAUUAUAUGUACGACUUUUGUUUUAAAUAGAAAAAAAAAAAUCUAUCAAAAUUUUACUGGAUUUGAAUUGUUCCAUAUUGUUAAACUUAUAAAUCCAUACAAAUAAACGAAUGUGGGCCUUCAGAGAAUGACGUAUCGUUUCCUCAAUUACUCUCUCUGUUUCCUUUCUCUCCGGCGCUCUCUCUUUUAUCUCUCCCCCUCUCUCUAAACUCCCCGCCGGGAUCUGUGCUCACUCUGAUCUCCUCGCCGGGAUUCGCGGCGCGGUCUUCACCGGUGGGGGAUCCGGCGAGGAUCUCCCUCCGGCGUUCUCUCUCCUACCUUUCUCCUCCUCUCUUCCUCGAUCUUUCUCAUCUCCUCACUGGUAUCUACACAGCGAUCUUCGUCGGUCAAAAAUCUGCCGGUGCAGUGCGAUCUCUGCCGGAGAAAAAUCUGUCAAGGACCUCCCAAUUAAUGGCCGAGAGGUGAUGUGUCCUCUUCUACUUUGCCCCCCACCCCCAUCGGUCGUUUUUUUUUGUUUCCUUUUAUUUUAUGCCCUUUUGUGCUUCGGCUUUCCUGAUUUCCGGUUGAGAUGGGGUCUGUUGCUAGCUUCGGUGGUUGAGGCAGGGAGCCCUUUGGCCGCCGGUUUCCAGUUGCCUGUGAUGAUGGCCUUGCCUAGCUACAUUAACACCUAUAAUAGCAAUAAUUUCUACCUAUUUUUCUACUGAGAUCUUGUGCAGUACAAACUCUAUAAAUAUCUCUCCUAAUUUUCCUAAAAUCCUCUCCAUAGUUUUGGUUCUGGAGAGGGAAGAAGAUUUGUACAUACUUCCAAUUUUAUUUUAGAUUAAUAAUUUGAUGUUUGAUUGAUGCUUAAUGCAGAGACGUUGGUAUUUGUUUAGUAUUGAUGUUGAUUUCUUUCUUUGGUAGGUUGAAUCGGGUAUCAUUCUCUUAUAUUCUCUAUUGGGACCUAAGAGGUUGAGGUGUGUUUCAUUCUCAUAUCUUCUCUUUUGGGAUCCAAGGUGGUUUGUCUCUUUUAUGUUAAUAUGCUAUAAUUAUUGCAGAAAUUCAUUGCAGUCAUUAAACAAUAAAUCUUGCCUUUUUUCC
Molecule: long non-coding RNA, 1529 nt
Organism: Ananas comosus (pineapple)
Lineage: Eukaryota; Viridiplantae; Streptophyta; Magnoliopsida; Poales; Bromeliaceae
Exons: 3
Source: RefSeq, a predicted model, not a curated record